GACGAACGCUGGCGGCGUGCUUAACACAUGCAAGUCGAACGGACAAGCGAGUGCUUGCACUCGUUGAUCAGUGGCGAACGGGUGAGUAACACGUGAGUAUCCUGCCCAUCACUCUGGGAUAAGCCCUGGAAACGGCGUCUAAUACUGGAUACGACCAACCCUUGCACGGGGUGCUGGUGGAAAGAUUUAUUGUUGAUGGAUGUACUCGCGGCCUAUCGGCUUGUUGGCGGGGUAAUGGCGAACCAAGGCGACGACGGGUCGGUGGCCUGAGAGGGUGAGCGGCGACACUGGGACUGAGGGACGGCCCAAGCAGCUACGGGAGGGAGCAGUGGGGAAUAUUGCACAAUGGGCGCAGGGCUGGUGCAGCAAGGCCGCGUGAGGGAAAACGGUCUUAGGGUUGUAAACCUCAUUCAGCAGGGAAGAAGCGAAAGUGACGGUACCUGAAGAAGAAGCACCGGCUAACUACGUG
RNAcentral lists this ribosomal RNA (469 nucleotides) under uncultured bacterium. RNAcentral describes it as "partial 16S ribosomal RNA". It matches the Rfam family "Bacterial small subunit ribosomal RNA", at positions 28 to 507 of the family's 1533-position model. The record is from RNAcentral.